This 400-nucleotide ribosomal RNA is filed under the name uncultured bacterium. RNAcentral describes it as "bacterial SSU rRNA". It matches the Rfam family "Bacterial small subunit ribosomal RNA", at positions 359 to 776 of the family's 1533-position model. The record is from RNAcentral.
GAAUCUUGCACAAUGGGGGAAACCCUGAUGCAGCGACGCCGCGUGAGCGAUGAAGCCCUUCGGGGUGUAAAGCUCUUUCGACGGGAACGAUAAUGACGGUACCCGGAGAAGAAGCCGCGGCUAACUACGUGCCAGCAGCCGCGGUAAUACGUAGGCAGCAAGCGUUGUUCGGAGUUACUGGGCGUAAAGAGUACGUAGGCGGUUUGCUAAGUCUGGUGUGAAAUCGCCUGGCUUAACUGGGAGGGUGCGCUAGAUACUGGCAGGCUUGAGUAUGGGAGAGGAGAGUGGAAUUCCUGGUGUAGCGGUGAAAUGCGUAGAUAUCAGGAGGAACGCCGGUGGUGUAGACGGCUCUCUGGACCAUAACUGACGCUGAGGUACGAAAGCGUGGGUAGCAAACAGG